CCGAGUUAUCCAACUCCCAACCUCUGUGAAUUAUACCUUUAAUUGUUGCUUCGGCGGGACUUCGCGCCCGCCGGGGAUCCAAACCUUCUGAAUUUUUAAUAAGUAUCUUCUGAGUGGUUAAAAAAAUGAAUCA
This 133-nucleotide unclassified non-coding RNA is filed under the name uncultured Metacordyceps. Its description in RNAcentral is "sequence contains ITS1". The record is from RNAcentral. Lineage: Eukaryota; Fungi; Ascomycota; Sordariomycetes; Hypocreales; Clavicipitaceae.